Molecule: ribosomal RNA, 492 nt
Filed under: uncultured bacterium
Lineage: Bacteria
Description: partial 16S ribosomal RNA
Rfam family: Bacterial small subunit ribosomal RNA
Source: RNAcentral
AGUGAACGCUGGCGGUAGGCCUAACACAUGCAAGUCGAACGGCAGCACAGUAAGAGCUUGCUCUUACGGGUGGCGAGUGGCGGACGGGUGAGGAAUACAUCGGAAUCUACUUUUUCGUGGGGGAUAACGUAGGGAAACUUACGCUAAUACCGCAUACGACCUACGGGUGAAAGCAGGGGAUCUUCGGACCUUGCGCGAUUGAAUGAGCCGAUGUCGGAUUAGCUAGUUGGCGGGGUAAAGGCCCACCAAGGCGACGAUCCGUAGCCGGUCUGAGAGGAUGAUCAGCCACACUGGAACAGCAACACGGUCCAGACUCCUACGGGAGGCAGCAGUGUGGAAUAUUGGACAAUGGGCGCAAUCCUGAUCCAGCCAUACCGCGUGGGUGAAGAAGGCCUUCGGGUUGUAAAGCCCUUUUGUUGGGAAAGAAAAGCAGCAGGUUAAUACCCCGCUGUUCUGACGGUACCCAAAGAAUAAGCACCGGCUAACUUCGUG